AUGGUACAAACUGCUCAUAAGAGAAAGCUACCUAUGGUGGUCCUUAAGCUAGAUUUUCAGAAGGCCUUUGACACAGUUAGCUGGGCGGCUCUGUUUAACAUUAUGGAGGCUCGUGGUUUCCCGCAAAGAUGGAUCACCUGGGUCCAUAACUUUCUGACCACGGCAACAUCUCGGGUUAUGGUCAAUGGGGAGCUUGGCGAUUCUAUUCUUGCCAAAAGAGGGUUGCGGCAGGGAGAUUCCAUCUCUCCAUACCUCUUCAUCUUGGUUGCUGAUGUUCUUCAAAGAAUUUGCUGCUCCAAGUUUGAAUCUGGUGCUUUAAUUCACCCUUUGGGCGCGGAUCGUAUGUUUCCAGUUCUAUAG
Molecule: ribosomal RNA, 360 nt
Filed under: Triticum aestivum (bread wheat)
Lineage: Eukaryota; Viridiplantae; Streptophyta; Magnoliopsida; Poales; Poaceae
Description: partial small subunit ribosomal RNA
Source: RNAcentral